CCCUUAGAUGUCCUGGGCUGCACGCGCGCUACACUGGAAGUUACGGAUUGAGAUACUACCUUGUCCGAAAUGGUCCGGGUAAUCACCUAAAAGCUUGUCAUAAUUGGAAUGGAUUAUUGUAACUAGUAAUCCUGAACGAGGAAUUCCUAGUAAGUCCCAGUCAACAGCUGGUACUGAUUACGUCCCUGCCCUUUGUACACACCGCCCGUCGCUACUACUGAUUGGACGUUUAAGCAAGAUUUUUAAACACUGACAGUGUGUAGUUCACGCUAUACUACAGUGAGAAGAAGAAGAUCGAGCUUACUUGUCUAGAGGAAGUAAAAGUCGUAGCA
Molecule: ribosomal RNA, 332 nt
Filed under: uncultured eukaryote
Lineage: Eukaryota
Description: partial 18S ribosomal RNA
Rfam family: Eukaryotic small subunit ribosomal RNA
Source: RNAcentral